UACGCAGGGGGCUAGCGUUGCUCGGAAUCACUGGGCGUAAAGCGCACGUAGGCGGCUUUUUAAGUCAGGGGUGAAAUCCUGGAGCUCAACUCCAGAACUGCCUUUGAUACUGAGAAGCUCGAGUCCGGGAGAGGUGAGUGGAACUGCGAGUGUAGAGGUGAAAUUCGUAGAUAUUCGCAAGAACACCAGUGGCGAAGGCGGCUCACUGGCCCGGUACUGACGCUGAGGUGCGAAAGCGUGGGGAGCAAACAGG
This 253-nucleotide ribosomal RNA is filed under the name uncultured bacterium. RNAcentral's name for it is "partial 16S ribosomal RNA". It matches the Rfam family "Bacterial small subunit ribosomal RNA", at positions 524 to 776 of the family's 1533-position model. The record is from RNAcentral.